UGCUGGAGGUAUCAGAAGUGCGAAUGCUGACAUAAGUAACGAUAAAGCGGGUGAAAAGCCCGCUCGCCGGAAGACCAAGGGUUCCUGUCCAACGUUAAUCGGGGCAGGGUGAGUCGACCCCUAAGGCGAGGCCGAAAGGCGUAGUCGAUGGGAAACGGGUUAAUAUUCCCGUACUUGGUGUUACUGCGAAGGGGGGACGGAGAAGGCUAUGUUGGCCGGGCGACGGUUGUCCCGGUUUAAGCGUGUAGGUGUGUGUUCCAGGUAAAUCCGGUUCACUUUAACACUGAGGCGUGACGACGAGGCACUACGGUGCUGAAGCAACAAAUGCCCUGCUUCCAGGAAAAGCCUCUAAGCAUCAGGUAACACGAAAUCGUACCCCAAACCGACACAGGUGGUCAGGUAGAGAAUACCAAGGCGCUUGAGAGAACUCGGGUGAAGGAACUAGGCAAAAUGGUGCCGUAACUUCGGGAGAAGGCACGCUGACAUGUAGGUGAAGUGAUUUACUCAUGGAGCUGAAGUCAGUCGAAGAUACCAGCUGGCUGCAACUGUUUAUUAAAAACACAGCACUGUGCAAACACGAAAGUGGACGUAUACGGUGUGACGCCUGCCCGGUGCCGGAAGGUUAAUUGAUGGGGUCAGCGCAAGCGAAGCUCCUGAUCGAAGCCCCGGUAAACGGCGGCCGUAACUAUAACGGUCCUAAGGUAGCGAAAUUCCUUGUCGGGUAAGUUCCGACCUGCACGAAUGGCGUAAUGAUGGCCAGGCUGUCUCCACCCGAGACUCAGUGAAAUUGAACUCGCUGUGAAGAUGCAGUGUACCCGCGGCAAGACGGAAAGACCCCGUGAACCUUUACUAUAGCUUGACACUGAACAUUGAGCCUUGAUGUGUAGGAUAGGUGGGAGGCUUUGAAGUGUGGACGCCAGUCUGCAUGGAGCCGACCUUGAAAUACCACCCUUUAAUGUUUGAUGUUCUAACGUGGACCCGUUACCCGGGUUGCGGACAGUGUCUGGUGGGUAGUUUGACUGGGGCGGUCUCCUCCUAAAGAGUAACGGAGGAGCACGAAGGUUGGCUAAUCCUGGUCGGACAUCAGGAGGUUAGUGCAAUGGCAUAAGCCAGCUUGACUGCGAGCGUGACGGCGCGAGCAGGUGCGAAAGCAGGUCAUAGUGAUCCGGUGGUUCUGAAUGGAAGGGCCAUCGCUCAACGGAUAAAAGGUACUCCGGGGAUAACAGGCUGAUACCGCCCAAGAGUUCAUAUCGACGGCGGUGUUUGGCACCUCGAUGUCGGCUCAUCACAUCCUGGGGCUGAAGUAGGUCCCAAGGGUAUGGCUGUUCGCCAUUUAAAGUGGUACGCGAGCUGGGUUUAGAACGUCGUGAGACAGUUCGGUCCCUAUCUGCCGUGGGCGCUGGAGAACUGAGGGGGGCUGCUCCUAGUACGAGAGGACCGGAGUGGACGCAUCACUGGUGUUCGGGUUGUCAUGCCAAUGGCACUGCCCGGUAGCUAAAUGCGGAAGAGAUAAGUGCUGAAAGCAUCUAAGCACGAAACUUGCCCCGAGAUGAGUUCUCCCUGAGACUUAGAGUCUCCUGAAGGAACGUUGAAGACGACGACGUUGAUAGGCCGGGUGUGUAAGCGCAGCGAUGCGUUGAGCUAACCGGUACUAAUGAACCGUGAGGCUUAACCUUACAACGCCGAAG
This 1688-nucleotide ribosomal RNA is filed under the name Salmonella enterica subsp. enterica serovar Saintpaul. RNAcentral describes it as "partial 23S ribosomal RNA". It matches the Rfam family "Bacterial large subunit ribosomal RNA", at positions 1271 to 2925 of the family's 2925-position model. Lineage: Bacteria; Pseudomonadati; Pseudomonadota; Gammaproteobacteria; Enterobacterales; Enterobacteriaceae. The record is from RNAcentral.